This 247-nucleotide unclassified non-coding RNA is filed under the name Hevea brasiliensis (rubber tree). The record is from RNAcentral. Lineage: Eukaryota; Viridiplantae; Streptophyta; Magnoliopsida; Malpighiales; Euphorbiaceae.
CUAGGCUGUCCUGUCGAGAAUAUCUUUAGCUACUUUUCUGAGGAACCUGUGGCCGCUGCUUCAUUUGGCCAGGUUUAUAAAGGCUGUACACUUGAUGGCUGCAUAGUGGCUGUAAAAGUUCAGCGUCCAAACUUGCUUCAUGAUGUCAUGCGAGAUAUCUAUAUUCUCCGCCUUGGGCUGGACGUUUUGAGGAGAGCAGCUAAGCGGAAGAGUGAUCUUUGCCUCUAUGCUGAUGAACUUGGCAAAG